GAGCGCAUCAGCUCCGGCUGCAGCACGUAUCCGGUCCGUCCGUUCAGGCUGAACAGGGCGGUGUUCAGCUGGGUGCAUUUGUCUGAGCGGAAAACCAGAAACGUUUUUAUUCGUCUGCAGGAAACUAUGUAAGCAGACGUUCAGGACCAAACACGUGAACUCCGACCGUCACUCGGCUCCGGGACUCUACCUGGUCCACAGGGUCCCAGAUCUCCAGGUCUCCCUGUUUUUGGCCUUUCCGGAAGUCUUUGGUGCCGACAUACCUUCCUUCAGGUGUGCAGCACCUUGAUGAUGAUCUUGCCCCUCAGCUGCGUGGGCGACGGCAGCUGCUCCGCCAUGUGCUCCACCGGUUCCGUCAGGAGUUUGUCUCCAAACACGUCCCUGAAGAUCCG
Long non-coding RNA from Oryzias melastigma (Indian medaka), 392 nucleotides. RefSeq lists it as uncharacterized. Lineage: Eukaryota; Metazoa; Chordata; Actinopteri; Beloniformes; Adrianichthyidae. The transcript is spliced from 3 exons. The record is from RefSeq and is a predicted model, not a curated record.